Papaver somniferum (opium poppy) is the source of this 1157-nucleotide long non-coding RNA. RefSeq lists it as uncharacterized. The transcript has 5 exons. Lineage: Eukaryota; Viridiplantae; Streptophyta; Magnoliopsida; Ranunculales; Papaveraceae. The record is from RefSeq and is a predicted model, not a curated record.
CAGAUUUAAAAAACUGAGUACUGAAGAUUGCUCGUUAAUAUUGAAUGAUGUACUCAAGUUAUGCCAGAUCCUUCGAGUUGGAAAGGAAUUGCUUGCAUAUCUAGUUGUCUUUAAAGGAUAGCUGCUUGUGUUGAGGGUCCAAAUGCUUUUGCAUCCGUUGCAGAUCAGAUACAGUCUUCUGGUUUUGAGAAAGAUGAACCUGAGAGAAGGCACAAACAGGAUGCAAAUGUCAGCAGCCUUUACGUCUUUGAUUGGAACUUGGAAGCGACACCCAUCUUUGUUAUAUUGCUGCAGAAAUUUAGUGAGAGGGCGAGGAUAGUUUGUUUGCUCAUGCGACUGAAGCUCUAACUCCGCUGUCUCUAGGUGCACUGUCCUUCUGCAUGGAGGGUAAAAGGUGAAUAGACUUCUUGAUUUUACUGCUAGCCUACUGGACCAUCCACGUACUAAGGCGUUAGUUACUAGAAAGAGGGUCUUGUUGGCUUACUAUCGAAAGCACUUAAGAGGUGUGUUUGUGAAGGGAAAAUGUUCACAGACACCAAAAUUUCUGCUGAGCUUAGUUUUACUCUUCUUGGGUGGUGCCUUCCUGUAUUCAAGGCUUUCGCACUAAUAUUUGCUUUUCAAGUUUCUAUGCAACUCUCUGGCGUUUAUGACAAGUCCUUUUAAUUGGGAAGGAAAUGCUUGGGUGUCAGUUAUCUUUAAAGGAUUAACUGCUUGUGUUGGGGGUAAAAUGCUUUUGCAGUCGCCGCUGCUGAUCAGCAGUCUUCUAGUUUUGAGAAAGAUGAAACUGAGAGAAGGCACAAACAGGAUGAAAACGCCAGCAGCCUUUACGGCUUUGAUUGGAAAUUGGAAGUGACACCCACCUUUGCUUUAUAGCUGCAGAAAUUUAUUGAGAUCGAUAUGUGGCGAGGGUAGUUUGUCUGCUUAUGCGACUUAGGUUCCAAGUGCGCUGUCUCUAGGUGCACUUUGCUUCUGCAUGGAAGGUAAAAGGCAAGUUAUCUUCUUGAAGCACUUGUUUGUCUCUUGGAAGCCUUAGAAGUUAGAAGCACCUGCUUGAUCGAGUAUAUGAUCAUAGGCAACUAAUCAAUUACAAACCAUGUAGUACUAAGCUAUCGUAAUGAUCCUUAGCAGCUAGAUCUUUCUCUUUAAUUGUACUUUUG